RNAcentral lists this ribosomal RNA (621 nucleotides) under Thaxterogaster sp. MEL MD212. Its description in RNAcentral is "eukaryotic LSU rRNA". The stretch from base 245 to 398 matches the Rfam family "5.8S ribosomal RNA". The record is from RNAcentral. Lineage: Eukaryota; Fungi; Basidiomycota; Agaricomycetes; Agaricales; Cortinariaceae.
GAUCAUUAUUGAAAUAAAUCUGAUGGGUUGCUGCUGGUUCUCUAGGGAGCAUGUGCACACUUGUCAUCUUUAUAUCUCCACCUGUGCACCUUUUGUAGACCUGGAUAUCUUUCUGAAUGCCUGGCAUUUGGGUUUGAGGAUUGAUUUUUUUCUUUCCUUACAUUUCUCAGGUCUAUGUUUCUUCAUAUACCCCAUGUAUGUUAAAGAAUGUAAUAAACGGGCCUUUGUGCCUAUAAACCUAUACAACUUUCAGCAACGGAUCUCUUGGCUCUCGCAUCGAUGAAGAACGCAGCGAAAUGCGAUAAGUAAUGUGAAUUGCAGAAUUCAGUGAAUCAUCGAAUCUUUGAACGCACCUUGCGCUCCUUGGUAUUCCGAGGAGCAUGCCUGUUUGAGUGUCAUUAAUAUAUCAACCUCUUCAGCUUUUGCUUGUUGAGUGUUGGAUGUGGGGGUUGCUGGACUCUUUAUGAGGUCAGCUCCCCUAAAAUGCAUUAGCAAAACAAUUUGUUGAUCGCUCAUUGGUGUGAUAACUAUCUACGCUAUUGACGUGAUGCAGGUUUAGCUUCUAACAGUCCAUUGACUUGGACAAAUUUUUAUUAAUGUGACCUCAAAUCAGGUAGGACU